This 854-nucleotide ribosomal RNA is filed under the name Entoloma phaeocyathus. Its description in RNAcentral is "eukaryotic LSU rRNA". It matches the Rfam family "Eukaryotic large subunit ribosomal RNA", at positions 72 to 909 of the family's 3401-position model. The record is from RNAcentral. Lineage: Eukaryota; Fungi; Basidiomycota; Agaricomycetes; Agaricales; Entolomataceae.
GGAUUCCCCUAGUAACUGCGAGUGAAGCGGGAAAAGCUCAAAUUUAAAAUCUGGUAGUCUUUGGCUGCCCGAGUUGUAAUCUAGAGAAGCGUUAUCCGCGCUGGACCGUGUAUAAGUCUCCUGGAAUGGAGCGUCAUAGAGGGUGAGAAUCCCGUCUUUGACACGGACUACCAGGGCUUUGUGAUGCGCUCUCAAAGAGUCGAGUUGUUUGGGAAUGCAGCUCUAAAUGGGUGGUAAAUUCCAUCUAAAGCUAAAUAUUGGCGAGAGACCGAUAGCGAACAAGUACCGUGAGGGAAAGAUGAAAAGAACUUUGGAAAGAGAGUUAAACAGUACGUGAAAUUGUUGAAAGGGAAACGCUUGAAGUCAGUCGCGUUGGUCAGGGAUCAACCUUGCUUUUUUUGCUUGGUGUACUUCCUGGCUAACGGGUCAGCAUCAAUUUUGACCAGUGGAAAAAGGUCAAGGGAAUGUGGCAUCUUCGGAUGUGUUAUAGCUCUUGAUCGUAUACAUUGGUUGGGAUUGAGGAACUCAGCACGCCGCAAGGCCGGGUUUUUAACCACGUUCGUGCUUAGGAUGCUGGCAUAAUGGCUUUAAUCGACCCGUCUUGAAACACGGACCAAGGAGUCUAACAUGCCUGCGAGUGUUUGGGUGGAAAACCCGAGCGCGUAAUGAAAGUGAAAGUUGGGAUCUCUGUCGUGGAGAGCACCGACGCCCGGACCAGACCUUCUGUGACGGAUCCGCGGUAGAGCAUGUAUGUUGGGACCCGAAAGAUGGUGAACUAUGCCUGAAUAGGGUGAAGCCAGAGGAAACUCUGGUGGAGGCUCGUAGCGAUUCUGACGUGCAAAUCGAUCGUCGAA